This 236-nucleotide unclassified non-coding RNA is filed under the name Hevea brasiliensis (rubber tree). The record is from RNAcentral. Lineage: Eukaryota; Viridiplantae; Streptophyta; Magnoliopsida; Malpighiales; Euphorbiaceae.
CUUCAGGCUUCUGAAAGCACUUGUUAUAGAAGGGCUUGAUCGAAGGACUCAGACAAGAAUCAUCCCAGGCCUUGUUCCUUCACAUGCUUCUAAGGCUUGAAUUAUAUACAAAACACACAAUGAAAACGUUCUGUGUGGUAUGCUAUGUUGCUCAAAUCCCCCAAAAAUGCUACUGCAACCGUGUCAGAUUCUCCAAAAAUGGUGUCAGGUGUGACGGCACUUUUGGAAGAUCUGAG